GAUGAGCGCUGGCGGCGUGCUUAACACAUGCAAGUCGAACGGAAAGGCUCCUGCUUGCAGGGGUACUCGAGUGGCGAACGGGUGAGUAACACGUGGGUGAUCUGCCCUGCACUUCGGGAUAAGCCUGGGAAACUGGGUCUAAUACCGGAUAGGACGAUGGUUUGGAUGCCAUUGUGGAAAGUUUUUUCGGUGUGGGAUGAGCUCGCGGCCUAUCAGCUUGUUGGUGGGGUAAUGGCCUACCAAGGCGUCGACGGGUAGCCGGCCUGAGAGGGUGUACGGCCACAUUGGGACUGAGAUACGGCCCAGACUCCUACGGGAGGCAGCAGUGGGGAAUAUUGCACAAUGGGCGCAAGCCUGAUGCAGCGACGCCGCGUGGGGGAUGACGGCCUUCGGGUUGUAAACUCCUUUCGCUAGGGACGAAGCGCAAGUGACGGUACCUGGAGGAGAAGCACCGGCUAACUACGUG
Molecule: ribosomal RNA, 466 nt
Filed under: uncultured bacterium
Lineage: Bacteria
Description: partial 16S ribosomal RNA
Rfam family: Bacterial small subunit ribosomal RNA
Source: RNAcentral